RNAcentral lists this ribosomal RNA (137 nucleotides) under uncultured eukaryote. RNAcentral's name for it is "partial 18S ribosomal RNA". It matches the Rfam family "Eukaryotic small subunit ribosomal RNA", at positions 1299 to 1458 of the family's 1831-position model. The record is from RNAcentral.
UGGUGGAGUGAUUUGUCUGCUUAAUUGCGAUAACGAACGAGACCUUAACCUGCUAAAUAGUCCGAUUUGCUUUGGCAGAUUGCAGACUUCUUAGAGGGACUAUCGGCUCAAGCCGAUGGAAGUUUGAGGCAAUAACA